RNAcentral lists this ribosomal RNA (397 nucleotides) under uncultured bacterium. RNAcentral's name for it is "partial 16S ribosomal RNA". It matches the Rfam family "Bacterial small subunit ribosomal RNA", at positions 523 to 918 of the family's 1533-position model. The record is from RNAcentral.
AUACGUAGGGGGCGAGCGUUGUCCGGAAUGACUGGGCGUAAAGGGCGUGUAGGCGGCCGAUUAAGUCUGGAGUGAAAGUCCUGCUUUCAAGGUGGGAAUUGCUUUGGAGACUGGUUGGCUUGAGUGCGGAAGAGGUAAGUGGAAUUCCCAGUGUAGCGGUGAGAUGCGUAGAGAUUGGGAGGAACACCAGUGGCGAAGGCGACUUACUGGGCCGUAACUGACGCUGAGGCGCGAAAGCGUGGGGAGCGAACAGGAUUAGAUACCCUGGUAGUCCACGCGGUAAACGAUGAAUGCUAGGUGUAGGGGGUAUCGACCCCUCCUGUGCCGGAGUGAACACAAUAAGCAUUCCGCCUGGGGAGUACGGCCGCAAGGUUGAAACUCAAAUGAAUUGACGGGG